CCUACGGGUGGCAGCAGUGGGGAAUAUUGCACAAUGGGGGAAACCCUGAUGCAGCAACGCCGCGUGAAGGAAGACGGUUUUCGGAUUGUAAACUUCUGUUCUUAGUGAAGAAUAAUGACGGUAGCUAAGGAGCAAGCCACGGCUAACUACGUGCCAGCAGCCGCGGUAAUACGUAGGUGGCAAGCGUUGUCCGGAAUUACUGGGUGUAAAGGGAGCGCAGGCGGGAAGCCAAGUCAGCUGUGAAAACUACGGGCUUAACUUGUAGACUGCAGUUGAAACUGGUUUUCUUGAGUGAAGUAGAGGUUGGCGGAAUUCCGAGUGUAGCGGUGAAAUGCGUAGAUAUCGGGAGGAACACCAGUGGCGAAGGCGGUUUACUGGACCACAACUGACGCUGAGACACGAAAGCGUGGGGAGCAAACAGGAUUAGAUACCCGUGUAGUC
This 441-nucleotide ribosomal RNA is filed under the name uncultured bacterium. RNAcentral describes it as "partial 16S ribosomal RNA". It matches the Rfam family "Bacterial small subunit ribosomal RNA", at positions 338 to 795 of the family's 1533-position model. The record is from RNAcentral.